Molecule: ribosomal RNA, 373 nt
Filed under: uncultured organism
Description: bacterial SSU rRNA
Rfam family: Bacterial small subunit ribosomal RNA
Source: RNAcentral
CGUAGGGACCGAGCGUCGUCCGGAUUCAUUGGGCGUAAAGAGCUCGUAGGCGGCCACUCAAGUCGAAUGUGAAACCUCGAGGCUCAACCUCGAGCCUGCAUUCGAUACUGGGCGGCUAGAGUCUGGUAGGGGGAUCUGGAAUUCCUGGUGUAGCGGUGGAAUGCGCAGAUAUCAGGAGGAACACCGGUGGCGAAGGCGGGAUCCUGGGCCAGUACUGACGCUGAGGAGCGAAAGCGUGGGGAGCAAACAGGAUUAGAUACCCUGGUAGUCCACGCCGUAAACGAUGGGCGCUAGGUGUGGGAGGUCAUCGACUCCUUCCGUGCCGCAGCUAACGCAUUAAGCGCCCCGCCUGGGGAGUACGGCCGCAAGGCUA